Non-coding RNA from Mus musculus (house mouse), 73 nucleotides. Lineage: Eukaryota; Metazoa; Chordata; Mammalia; Rodentia; Muridae. The record is from Rfam.
GCCUCCUUAGCAUAGUAGGCAGCGCAUCAGUCUCAUAAUCUGAAGGUCCUGAGUUUGAACCUCAGAGGGGUCA